Long non-coding RNA from Talpa occidentalis (Iberian mole), 1760 nucleotides. RefSeq lists it as uncharacterized. The record is from RefSeq and is a predicted model, not a curated record. NCBI's taxonomy places the organism in Eukaryota, Metazoa, Chordata, Mammalia, Eulipotyphla, Talpidae. The transcript has 5 exons.
GGUUUGAGUCAGCGGGGCCUGACGGUCAUAAAAGCAGCCAGUAGAGGUCGUUGUCCAAGAAGAGCAGGUUGGGGUGCAGAGAGGGGAGGUCCCCAAACCUCAAAGGCGUGUGGGCGGAAGAAAAGAUAAAAGCUUCAGGAAAAGCAGGCCAAGUCCAAACUCAUUGCAGGCGAUGGUGGCUGGGACGGAUCUUGGCCCUCCCAUGGGUGAAGCCAGAGCUCCAGACCCAUUUCAACAGGGACGAACUAAUUCAGGACAAGAUCAAUGCAGUCAGGUCCAGAGGGGUGUGUGCCAGGGGCAGGAGCGAGGCGGUGCUGCUCGGGGUGGACACGGAGCUGUGACGACGCUGAAUCCCUCGUCCAGGCAGCCCGGCCUUGUCAGCUCGCCAUGGCUUCGAGAACGCACAUUCCUCGCCCUCUCCGGCAGCUACCCCCUGGGUCCCGACACAGCCACCCUCAUGUUCACUUGAAGUGAAAAAAGAUGUUUGGUGAAAUAACUGCAGCCUGGAGCCAAACAACUAACACCAUCUUUAAUUUUGUUUAUUGUAAUAAAAUGUGUUAAUGAAAAAGUGCAAAAAUAGAUAAUAGAAAUUAAUGUACUGUGACAUAAAAUUUUGCUUGAAAAUCAAGGCAAGUACAGUAAAAGCUAAUAUGUUUAAAUGAGCAUUGCAUAAUGUAUAUCUAACAACUAUAAAAAUCAUUUUAUUGAAGUAUAUCUGCAAAUCAUACAACAUGAAAAAUGACAGCAAUAUGCUCGAGACAGACUAAGUCUAGUCUAUGGAAACAAAUUUUGAUCAGUAUUUAAAAGUUAUUCUGGAUAAUCACAGGAAACGGGAGUUUAAAAGUAUCUGCACAUACUCUAUUUUUUCCUGUUUGUAUCCAAGUAUCAUUUAAUCUAACUCUAGUAUUGUAAAUUAUUAUACUCAAUUCCUUUAUAAAACAUCAUUUUGAUUCAAAUAAAAAUAAACCAUCACUAUCACUUACAUAAUAGGAUACAUAGGUGUACACAGACAGUAUACGGUAUAGGGUAUAAGAACAGUAUAUGGUAUAAGACAGUAUAUGGUACAAGAACACAUUAUACGGUAUACACCAUGUUACAUGGUAUUAUAUGGAAAAAUGUGGGAGAUCGAAAAUAUCAUUAGAUUUUAUAUAUGAUGUUACUAAUAAUAUCACUAAUUUUAAGUUUGUAAUAUUAUCUAAGUUAUAAAUCACUUAAGAAGUCUUCAAAAAUACAGUAUAUCAUUUGUAUUGUUUUUAAAUAGUACUUUUUAAAAUAUGCUCACUUACCAACCAAUAAAUCUUAAAUGAAUUAGGAAAAUGUAUAACAAUUUCAGUCUUAUAUUUAAGAUCUUUCAAAUAAGCAUGUUAUGAUUUAGUAUCAAAAAUACUUUUUUUACUCUAUUUUUUUCUAAUUACUGGAAAAAUUAAUGAAUAUCCACAUAAGCAUUUGUUGGAACUAAAUGUAAUAACAGUUCGAGGUCAUUGCUUCUAUGAAAUGUUCGAAUACAGUAAACAAAAAUAGAUGUUUUAUUUCAAAGUAAGGAUAUCUUGUUUUGAAUAUUGAGCAUUAAAAUCGAUGGCAAAUUGAAUAAUACCCUUUUUUAAAAGAUUUAUUUAAUUAUGCAUGCAAGAACUGGAGUGUAGGCCAGAGGUGCAGUGGGUGAGAGGAUUCAACAGAGUGGGGAGCAGAACAGGUGGAUCCACUGAAAUCCACAACUGAGGGGAGCAGUGGGGAGAUUGGAGAGGUCUCCUGCCCUCUCC